ACACACAGUUCUGAAAGCCUCAUUUCCCAAGAAAAUAAAAGCUCUCAAACCCUCAAAUAUCAGCACAACCAGAUAUACCCAUGGCAUUCUUGGGUAGUAGUAGAGCUGCCGGCCGUCUCAUGGUGCUCCUCCAGAUGGCUCUCUUCGUCAUCGUCUCGGCGCUCAUCAUGAACAGCUCCUUGUGCCUUGCAGCGGCCGGCCAGGACGACAUUGCAGGCUCUGGGUCUCGGUGUAUCGGACAGAAAUGCUCUGGGGGAACUCAUUGCUGCCGUGGUGUACCACUGGUUGGUGACCGACCCUAAUUAGCAAUAGAUUAGAGGUGGGCGUGCGGCAAGCCGUGUGACACAUGUCUUUCUUUCCGUAUGAAUAAAUGGUUGAAUAAAGUGUUUUGUCUAUA
Triticum dicoccoides is the source of this 397-nucleotide long non-coding RNA. RefSeq lists it as uncharacterized. NCBI's taxonomy places the organism in Eukaryota, Viridiplantae, Streptophyta, Magnoliopsida, Poales, Poaceae. The transcript is spliced from 2 exons. The record is from RefSeq and is a predicted model, not a curated record.